UGGGGAAUAUUGGACAAUGGGGGCAACCCUGAUCCAGCCAUGCCGCGUGAGUGAUGAAGGCCUUCGGGUUGUAAAGCUCUUUUGGCGGGGACGAUGAUGACGGUACCCGCAGAAUAAGCCCCGGCUAACUUCGUGCCAGCAGCCGCGGUAAGACGAAGGGGGCUAGCGUUGUUCGGAAUUACUGGGCGUAAAGCGAGUGUAGGCGGUUGCCGUAGUCAGGUGUGAAAGCCUUGAGCUCAACUCAAGAAAUGCACUUGAUACUGGGUGACUAGAGGACCGGAGAGGAUAGUGGAAUUCCCAGUGUAGUGGUGAAAUACGUAGAGAUUGGGAAGAACACCAGUGGCGAAGGCGGCUAUCUGGACGGUUACUGACGCUAAGACUCGAAAGCGUGGGGAGCAAACAGGAUUAGAUACCCUGGUAGUCCACGCCGUAAACGAUGGGUGCUAGACGUUGGCGAGCUUGUCGUCAGUGUCGCAGCUAACGCGUUAAGCACCCCGCCUGGGGAGU
This 507-nucleotide ribosomal RNA is filed under the name uncultured bacterium. RNAcentral's name for it is "partial 16S ribosomal RNA". It matches the Rfam family "Bacterial small subunit ribosomal RNA", at positions 355 to 881 of the family's 1533-position model. The record is from RNAcentral.